Molecule: ribosomal RNA, 1325 nt
Filed under: metagenome
Description: bacterial LSU rRNA
Rfam family: Bacterial large subunit ribosomal RNA
Source: RNAcentral
UUAGUAGAGAAGCGUGUGAGCCAGCUGCCAAGAAAAGCCGCUAUUGCUUCAUAAGUACCCGUACCGUAAACCGACACAGGUGGAUGAGGAGAGAAUCCUAAGGCCGGCGGGAGAAGUGUUGUUAAGGAACUCGGCAAAAUGACUCCGUAACUUCGGGAGAAGGAGUGCCACAGAGAUGUGGCCGCAGAGAAAUGGCCCAAGCAACUGUUUAGCAAAAACACAGGUCUAUGCAAAACCGAAAGGUGAGGUAUAUGGGCUGACGCCUGCCCGGUGCUGGAAGGUUAAGAGGAGAGGUUAGAGCAAUCGAAGCUUUGAAUUUAAGCCCCAGUAAACGGCGGCCGUAACAAUAACGGUCCUAAGGUAGCGAAAUUCCUUGUCGGGUAAGUUCCGACCCGCACGAAAGGCGUAAUGAUUUGGGCACUGUCUCAACAACACACCCGGUGAAAUUGAAAUACCAGUGAAGAUGCUGGUUACCUGCGCCAGGACGGAAAGACCCCAUGGAGCUUUACUCCAGUUUGAUACUGGGAUUCGGUACUGUCUGUACAGGAUAGGUGGGAGGCUAGGAAAUGGUGACGCCAGUUGCCAUGGAGCCAACCUUGGGAUACCACCCUUACAGUACUGGGUUUCUAACCUGCAGCCGUGACCCGGCUGGGGGACAAUGUCUGACGGGGAGUUUGACUGGGGCGGUCGCCUCCGAAAGAGUAUCGGAGGCGCUCAAAGGUUCCCUCAGAACGGUUGGAAACCGUUCGAAGAGUGCAAAGGCAGAAGGGAGCUUGACUGCGACACCGACGGGUGGAGCAGAUACGAAAGUAGGACUUAGUGAUCCGGUGGUAUAAAGUGGGAUUGCCAUCGCUCAACGGAUAAAAGCUACCCUGGGAUAACAGGCUUAUCACUCCCAAGAGUUCACAUCGACGGAGUGGUUUGGCACCUCGAUGUCGGCUCAUCGCAUCCUGGAGCUGUAGCAGGUUCCAAGGGUUGGGCUGUUCGCCCAUUAAAGCGGUACGCGAGCUGGGUUCAGAACGUCGUGAGACAGUUCGGUCCCUAUCCGGCGUGGGCGUAGGAUAUUUGAGAGGAGCUGUCCUUAGUACGAGAGGACCGGGAUGGACAAACCUCUGGUGUAUCUGUUGUUUUACCAAAGGCAUGGCAGAGUAGCCAAGUUUGGCAGGGAUAAACGCUGAAGGCAUCUAAGCGUGAAGCCCCCCUCAAGAUAAGAUAUCCCAUCUUCGGAGUAAGACCCCUUGAAGACUACAAGGUUGAUAGGCUUCAGGUGUAAGUGUGGUAACGCACUCAGCUGAGAAGUACUAAUAGGUCGAGGACUUAUCAAA